AAUGUGCGCACAUCAGUGUAUUCAUUCAGCAAACUAGUAGUAUGUACAACAGCAAGAGAACCCUUUGAUUUCUGAAACAUUAUGCUCAUUCAGUAAACUCAACAGUGUUAAAACAUAUUACUGCAAAAGGUAAGUGGCAUGAAUUACUACAGCUAAAUUCAACAAGACAGCAAGAAUUCAAUUAACUACUAUAGGUAAUUCAGGAGACUCCUGAUAUGAAAGUGACUGAUAAUAUACAAAAAGCUUCAGAUGCUUCGUCACUUGUACAAAAAGCUUGAUCUUCUGGGCUUAAUACUGCUGCGGAUGCCGGUGCCGAGGGUCUCCAAAUAUACUGCUACUGAUACCGAGGGUCUCCAAAUAUACCGAACGGAGGUUCUGCAUAUGAAUAAGGUGUACGAUAUUUAGCCAAUGGAUGAAAUUAGAAUACACUCGAGAGAAGAACAGGAAGUUGUCUCCAACCGCUAUGUAUCUCAUCUUCUAAAAAAGAACUUCACUGCCAAACUAAACUCAUAAAAAAGUAGUAACAUCCCAAAUUUUCAAUUUGGAAUGUUAUACAUUAGAUCAUCAUUGCAUACCAUAUUUUAUUUUGCAUUUUGGUUGAUCCUAGAAAUUCUAUGCAAUUCAAUGACCCACGGAGAGAGUUGGGGAUUUCGUUAUUUUCAUAUUUGAGUUUUCUCAAAUUUUGAGAAUAGGAUCAUUUGAUUUUAAUUAUUUUAUCAUCAAUUAUUUUCUAUUACAAAAAUAUGAGAGAGGGAAUAAAAUGACUUUCCCAAAAUAAAGAAAUAUUGAGGAUUUAAUAAUAAAAUCAAAUCAGAUUCUAUUUCAGAGUUUUUUGGUGUUUUAUUUGAAUUUAGGAAAAAUGUGCAUUUUUCAAAAUUGCAUUUAGGUCCCAAAUAAAUGUUCAUCUUGUGCGGCUUGAUUUUAGAAGUCCGUGAAAAUUUAUUUCGGAAUUUUUGAAGUCCAGUUAGUAUUUCUUUUUAUUUUUCUUCUGCGCGUAAUUAUUAAAAAAACGAACCAACCUACGGGCCGUGUCCGACUAGGACUCCAACCCGGCUAGCCUUUAUAAGCCGGGGGAGGCCCAGCCCCAGCCGAACCCUAAGCCGCCGCCAGCCCCAGUGCCGCCCCGCCGCGCCGCCACCGUCGCCGCGCCCCGCUGCCGCACGCCUCCCGAGGUUCGCCGCCUCGUUUUCCGCAUCGGUAUUUUUUAGUUUUUUCCCGAAAAACCGUUGGUUUUUUUAUAUUCGUUUUUUUAAUAGAUCGGUUUUUCGGUUUAUUUAAAUAGCGAGCGUUCGUCCGUUCGUUCGUUCUAGCGAACGUUCGUCAUUUUUUUCUUUUUCUCGGAUUAAAUCCGCGAUUUUUCUGAUCGCGAUUCCUGAUCCGAUUUUCGUUUUAGUAUAACUUUUCGCUCGUUUAUCGGAAUCAGGCGAUUCAAGCGCCUGGAGUUUCGUCUCGAAACCCUCUAUCCGUUGAACCAACUUAAACAAGUUUUUGCUACUGUAAAAUUUGCCCUAGAUCCAGAUUGCUGGAACGAAGUUGUUUUCUUUCGCUGUUUGACUUUCGUUGCUUCAUUCGAUUUGAUUCUUUUUGCCAACCAGAGUUGUUAAGUUGAACCUUCUGGUUAGAUAUCUCAUUUGAGUUUUACUCGUGCAUUAGAUGAGUACUUAUUGUAUGCUUGUUUGUUUGUCUGUGAUAGAAUACCCGGAGUGCGCCGCUUGUUACUUCGAAUCUCUAGGUUUCGCGGAUUAUCAGCAAGGCAAGUAACACUUUGAUCAUACCUUUCCUACUACCCAGUUUUAUUGCAUUAGAACAAUCCUUACACAUUGCAUGAUUAGGAUCUAAUUAAAUUGUGGGAUGGGAAGUAGUUGAGGUAGUACCUAUUACCUGUUUAUUAUCAAACCUUUGGGAGUUACUUCUACGUUUGCUUAUUAUGCCAUGUUAUACUAGUAGACGUGGAUUGGGUGAGUGAUAUCCAUGACAGAUGUGAGUUUGUUAAUUAAUGGUUUAUCUAAGGUGGCAACUUAAACACACAUCUGGGUGGAUUGAGGUACCUGGGUAUUCCAGGACUUACCUGUUUUCUUUUGGACCGCCACCCAGGCUCAAAGGGAUCAUGAGAUUAUUCAUGCUAGAAACUUCUGUGUGCAGCCACAAGCUAUUAUGGGCUCUAGCAUAGUUGACUAAGUCGUACGAACUCUUACAGCGGUAGACUAACAGAUGUAGGGGAUGUAGGUGGUACGGUCUACCCGAUCGUAAGGUGCUAGCGCUUCUGAAAGACUAUGUCUCGGUCAUCCGUCUUCUCAAACACCUUGUAGUGCGAGAAACCAAACGGAGGCGAUCGAGUCUUGUGGGGAAAAAUGCGCAAACCUCUGUAGAGUGUAAUAAACUAAUCAUGAUUAGCCGUGUCCCCGGUUAUGGACAUCUUGAGUAUCUAGUACCUGGAUUAUCAUGUGAAUCUCAACAUGUUACUCUAAAUUAAUUUUGUUGGGUUUUGUUUAAUGAUGAUGCUUAAUUGGGAUUGAGAAUGCUGUCAACCAUUCUCAAUAUUUAACAACUACCAUGAUAGUUAAAUAAAAUUUAUUCCUUUGAAGUAGGAAAAAAUUGGCUUUACGCAAAAUUCUAACCAUAGAGCUUUCCACCAGCCAAAUAUGCAUAUAGUAUAGCUGUUUCAUUCCAUUACUCUCUAUGUGUUACCUUGCCAGCAUAUUCCAUGUGCUGACCCGUUUUGGGCUGCAACGUUAAUGUUGCAGACUUUUUAAACGACGAUUAAGGAGUUUUUAGGUUGUGGUUCUAUACUCAGUGAUGCCGUUGGAGUUGAUGGACUCACUUAUCUUCCAAGCCUUCCGCUGUUAUCGUUAUUAGAUGGCCUUAAGCCAUAUUUAUUGUAUUAAGUUCUCUAUGAGACACUCGAUGUAAUAAGUGUGUGAUUGCUACUCUGUUAUAAAUCCUCCGAGUACUGUGUGGUGUCAGCAUUACUGAUCCAGGGAUGACACCGGAGCACAGAGCUCAGACUGUUUGAGGUCUGGUCGCUACAGAGAUGGUAUCAGAGCACCCGCUGACUGUAGGACACGACCACUAAGCUAAAGACCUAGAUCACUAUUCACUUUCUUCUCUUCUGACUCCUCAUCCUUUCUACUCUUAGGAUGGCGGAUGCAAGGAACAAGUUCACGCAACUAGAUGAAGAUACACCCUUUGGACGUCACUUGAAGGAAGUCACUAGAUACCUGAACAUAGGAGUACCAAGCUUCACCGGAACCUACAACGCCACUUUACCUGAAGAAGAGCGCUGGAUGAUUCAAGUUCAAGUUCCAGAAAGGACGUUCAUGCCAGUCACUGAGCCCAUAGAGUUUUCUUUUGAUGCACCAACUUGGAGUCUAGGAAAGAGCAUGGCAGCUCACAUCACCAUGUGACGCAUUGGAGAAGUAUACCGCAAGGAUCUCAAGGAUACUAUCUACCAGAUUUGUGGGCGCCGAGAUGAGCACUGGGAGAUGAUCAGCACCAGGAAGGAUAGAUCAAUUGCAGCUUUUAUCCAGGAGCUAAACCAGCACAUUCGACGACAGGAGAACCAGAUGUGUGCCGACAUGAUAGAUCUGAAGAAGGCUAAGACUAGAAUCAAGGAACUGGAGGAAGAACUCAAGGCUACACGUGAAGAUUAUGAAGAGGAAAUUGAAGUAUUGAUGGAGAAGAAUGACGACCUGAUCAAGAAGAUUGGAAUAUUUAUGGGAGGCCCUACACCAGUGGAGGAAGACGAAGAACCUAAGGAGAUUAGCCCGAAAGACUACAUCAUCAUCGACAACACCGAUUCGGAUCCAGAUAGUAGCGAUGAUGACUAUGUUGAUGAAGCUGGAGCAGAUAUUAUGGAGUCUGCAACCAAAGAAUAUUUCUAGUAGACCACCUCAUCAGUAGUAGUAGUCCACCAUGUAAAUAUAGUAGUCCGAGCACUUUUGCGAUAGAUAGAUCGAUUGUAUGCCCUUGUUUGAUUGAAUGAAGUGAAUUGUUUGUUUUUGCCUCAUGUGCAUAUGGGUAGUGUUUUCUCUUUAGACCCCCUCUAUUCUUACAUCUCAUCUUUUCUAAACCCCUCAGAUGCCUCCGAGACGUGACCCCGGAUUUGCCUUUCCACCGGAGCUCACCCAGUUGAUCCAGCAGCAGAACACAUUGAUGCCGUUGCUAGUCCAGAAUCAGAAUCAGGGGAACAACAACAACAACAACAACCCACCACCACCACCACCACCUGUUGAUCACUUAGCCCGAUUUCUUAGGCUGAAUCCGCUGGUGUUUUCCAGUAGCACCGAGCCGAUAGUAGCAGAUGAUUGGCUCCGCAAGACAGCUAGAGAGUUGACCACAGCAGGAUGUACGGAUGCGGAGAAGGUGAAGUUUGCCGCACAUCAGCUUGAGGGACCCGCAGCUUCAUGGUGGGAGAAUUUCACAGCCACUUUCCCAGUCGACACUUGAGGACGGACAGUUGGCCAGUAUGUGAAGGACUUUAGUAAGUUAGCACGUUAUGCACCAGAUGACGUUGCUACGGAUGCAGCUAAGCAGGAGAAGUUUCUGGAAGGACUGAAUGAUGAGUUGAGCAUGCAGUAGAUGGUAGCCACCUUCAACAACUACCAGGAGUUGGUAGAUCGUGCUCUUAUGAUUGAAGGGAAGCAGCAGCACAUUGAGAAUCGCAAGAGGAAGUAUGGACAAGGAAAGUACACUUCAGGAGCUCAGCAGAAGCCACGUUUUACCCCUAGACCGGGAGGACAUUUUCAGCAUACCCAUGGAGGAGGUAGCUCGCACAAUCACAAUGGCACCAAGAAUGGUAAUGGCAAUGGAGGAAGCAACGGCCAGAAUCGCACCAACCCAUCAACCCCAGCCAAGAAGGACCUGAGCCAAGUCACUUGCUUUAAGUGUCAGAAGACCGAACAUUAUGCCAAUGAAUGUCCUGAAGGCCAAAAUGGCAAUGGAAGUUCUGGGAAGAAGCCGAACCCUUUCAACAGGGGACAGGUGAACCACGUUAGCGUGGAGGAGGUUGAAGCUCAGCCCGAUGCAGUAAUAGGUAAGUUUUUGGUUAAGUCAUUUACUGCACUCGUUCUUUUUGACACGGGUGCAUCGCAUUCAUACAUCUCAAGGGGAUUUAUGGAUAAGUAUAACCUAUCAACCCAAGCCCUUAGGUCACCCAUGUUAGUAACCUUGUCUGGAGCAGAAUAUGUGGCUAGUCUAUGGUGUGAUCGGUUACCAUUAAGGAUUGGUAACUAUAUUUUUCCCUCAGACCUAAUAGUAUUGGAAUCUCAAGGAUUGGAUGUGAUAUUAGGCAUGGAUUGGUUAUCAAAGUAUGAAGGAAAUAUUGAAUGCGCUAGUAAGUCAAUUUUGCUUACCACCCCAAAAGGGAGAAGGAUCAAGUAUGUAUCCCGACAUGUGCCGAAGAGGACUCAAGUAAAUUGCUUAACAGGAGUUGUGCAGGAGGAAGUACUAGUGGUAAGGGAUUUCCCUGAAGUAUUUCCAGAGGAGUUGCCAGGCAUGCCACCGGAUAGAGAUAUUGAGUUUUUGAUUGAGCUAUUGCCAGGCACAGGGCCAAUAUCAAAGAGACCAUAUAGGAUGCCAGCAAAGGAUUUGGUGAAAAUUAAGAAGCAGAUUAAGGAGUUACUGGAUAAGGGAUAUAUUCGCCCAAGUUCUUCGCCUUGGGGAUCGCCAGUACUUCUAGUGGAGAAGAAGGAUGGAUCGUUAAGGAUGGUUGUUGAUUAUCGAGGAUUGAACAAAGUAACAAUCAAGAAUAAGUACCCACUACCAAUGAUCAAUGAUCUGUUUGAUCGAUUGCAAGGAGCUAAGCUAUUUUCCAAGACCGACCUGCGAUCAGGAUACCACCAGUUGAAGAUUCGAGAAUAGGAUAUUCCUAAGACAGCUUUUACCACCAGGUAUGGGCUGUACGAGUAUACCAUUAUGUCAUUUGGUCUGACUAACGCACCUGCCUAUUUUAUGAACAUGAUGAACAAAGUAUUUAUGGAGUUUUUGGAUAAGUUCGUAGUAGUGUUCAUUGAUGAUAGCCUGGUUUAUUCAAAGAAUGAAGAGGAACACAAGGAGAAUUUGCGUUUGGUACUUGGAAAGCUCAGAGAACAUUAAUUAUAUGCCAAGUUCAGCAAAUGUGAGUUUUGGUUGAAGGAAGUAGGAUUCCUCGGACACGUUAUAUCGGGAGAAGGUAUAGCAGUUGAUCCCACUAAAGUUGAUACCGUGACCAAGUGGGAAGCACCAACUACAGUGGGAGAGAUCCGGAGUUUUCUUGGACUCGCAGGAUACUACCGGAGAUUUAUUGAGAAUUUCUCAAAGAUUGCGAAGCCUAUGACUGAGUUGUUAAAGAAAGAUACCAAGUUCAUAUGGACGGAGGAAUGUGAGGCUAGUUUCCAACAGUUGAAGAAACGUUUGGUUACCUCACCAGUGUUGAUUUUGCCAGACCAGACCAAAGAUUAUGAGGUGUAUUGUGACGCUUCACGUCGAGGACUUGGAGCAGUGCUUAUGCAGGAAGGGAGAGUUGUUUCAUAUGCCUCAAGACAACUGAAGCCUCAUGAGUUGAAUUAUGCCACGCAUGAUUUGGUGUUAGCAGCCGUGGUGCAUGCUUUGAAAACAUGGAGGCAUUUCCUCAUUGGAAACCAUUGUGAGGUGUACACGGAUCAUAAGAGUUUGAAGUACAUUUUCACACAGAAGGAGUUGAAUCUCAGACAAAGGAGAUGGUUGGAGCUCAUUAAGGAUUAUGAUAUGAGAUUGCAAUACCAUCCCGGAAAGGCUAAUGUAGUAGCUGACGCCUUAAGCCGUAAGAGCCAUGUCAAUACGUUAAUGACGGGAGAAAUACCCAAGGAGUUAGCAGAAAAUCUUCGUGAACUGUGUUUGGAAAUAGUUCCGAGAGGCUAUGUAGCAGCACUGGAGAUUCAGUCAACCUUGAUGGAUAGAAUCAGAGAAGCUUAGAAUACUGACGAAGAGAUUGCCGCCGUAAAGGAGAAACUGAGCAAAGGAAAAGCUAAAGGAUUUCGUGAGGAUGAGCACGACACCCUAUGGUUUGAAGACCGUGUUUAUGUGCCCAAUGACCCGGAGAUCAGGAAGUUGAUGCUGCAAGAGGCACACGAUUCACCGUAUUCAGUUCACCCAGGAAAUACCAAGAUGUAUUUGGAUUUGAAGGAUAUUUUCUGGUGGACCGGAAUGAAGAAGGAUAUUGUGGUGUACGUAGCAGUUUGUGAUGUAUGCCAGAGAGUAAAGGCAGAGCAUCAAAAGCCAGCAGGAUUGUUACAACCAUUGCCGAUACCCGAAUGUAAGUGGAAUAAGCUAGGCAUGGAUUUUAUCACAGGAUUACCCAGGACCCGUUCAGGCUAUGACUCAAUUUGGGUUGUAGUUGAUCGAUUGACGAAGGUAGCUCAUUUCAUCCCGGUAAAGACCACUUACAACAGUGUUAAGUUGGCAAAGAUAUACAUGACCAGGAUCGUAUGUUCGCAUGGAGUUCCAAGGAGUAUCGUAUCAGAUAGAGGAACCCAAUUUACCUCAAAGUUCUGGAAGCAGUUGCACGAAACUUUGGGUACCAGGCUAGAAUUCAGUACAGCUUUUCAUCCACACACAGAUGGACAGGCCGAGAGAGUCAAUCAGAUUUUGGAGGAUAUGCUGAGAGCUUGUGCGCUAGAUUACGGAUCUAGUUGGGACGACAAUUUGCCAUAUGAAGAGUUCUCUUACAACAAUAGUUACCAAACCAGUUUAAAGAUGGCCCCUUUCGAAGCCUUGUACGGAAGGAGGUGCAGGACACCGUUGUCAUGGGACGAAGUUGGAGACCGCCAGUUGUUUGGACCUGACUUGAUUAAAGAGUCUGAACAGAAGGUGAAGUUGAUUCGCGAUAGGCUCAGGGUAGCCCAGUCCAGACAGAAGAGCUAAGCAGAUUCUAAACGCAAGGAGACCAUUUACGAAGUCGGAGAUAGAGCUUAUCUUCGAGUAUCUCCACUUCGGGGAACAAAGCGUUUUGGAGUUAAAGGGAAGUUAGCGCCAUGAUUUGUAGGACCAUAUCGAGUUUUGGGGCGUAUGGGAGAAGUGGCCUACAAGUUGGAAUUACCUGAAGGAUUGUCAGGAGUUCAUGAUGUGUUCGACGUUUCCCAGUUGAAGAAGUGUCAUGCGGAGAUGGCUGACAUACCGUUGAGAGACACAGUGCCUUUGGAAACUAUUCAGUUGGAUAACAAUUUGACCUAUGAGGAAAAACCCAUUAAGUGUUGGGGAACGUAGUAAUUUCAAAAAAUUUCCUACGCACACGCAAGAUCAUGGUGAUGCAUAGCAACGAGAGGGGAGAGUGUUGUCUAUGUACCCUCGUAGACCGUUCAUGGAAGCGUUAUAUCAACGCAGUUGAUGUAGUCGUACAUCUUCACGUCCGACCGAUCCAAGUACCGAAAGCACGGCACCUCCGAGUUCUGCACACGUUCGGGUCGGUGACGUCCUCGCCUUCUCAAUCCAGCAUGAGGUGUGAAGUAGUAGAUGAGUUCCGGCAGCACGACGGCGUGGUGACGGUGUUGGUGAAGAACAAUCUCCGCAGGGCUUCGCCUAAGCACUACAAAAACUAUGACAGAGGAUAAACUAGAGGGGACGGGGUUGCCAGCACACGGCUUGGUGUUUCUUGAUAUGUCUUUGGUGCUAGCCCUGCCCCUCUAUUUAUAUGUUGAGCCAUGGGGUCGAAACUUGGAGUAAAAGCCUCCACAAAGUCGGUUUCACCUGAAAGGCAAGAGUCCUUCUCGGACUCCAGGGCCAGACGCCAGGGUUCCCGGCGUCUGGACCCAGACGCCAGGGACCCUGGCGUCUAGCCCCUGGACUCCACAAAACUUCCUUUUGCGCUUUCCAAAAACCUUGUGGGCUUUCCCCUUUGGCCCAAAUAAAGUGUUCUCGUACCCAAACAUUUCGGGAAACAUCCGGAAACCCUUCCGAUGAUUUCCGGAACCCUUCCGGUGACCAAACACUAUUAUCCCAUAUAUCAAACUUUUUCUCCGGACCAUUUCGGAGUUCCUCGUCAUGUCCGUGAUCUCAUCCCGGACUCCGAACAACAUUCGGUCACCAACAUACAUAACUCACAUAGUACUAUAUCGGCAACGAACAUUAAGCGUGCGGACCCUACGGGUUCGAGAACUAUGUAGACAUGACCGAGACACCUCUCUGGUCAAUAACCAAUAGCGGGACCUGGAUGCCCAUAUUGGCUCCUACAUAUUCUAUGAAGAUCUUUGUCGGUCAGACCGCAUAACAACAUACGUUGUUCCCUUUGUCAUCGGUAUGUUACUUGCCCGAGAUUCGAUCGCCAGUAUCUCAAUACCUAGUUCAAUCUCGUUACCGGCAAGUCUCUUUACUCGUUCUGUAAUACAUCAUCUCGCAACUAACUCAUUAGUUGCAAUGCUUGCAGGGCUUAUGUGAUGUGCAUUACUGAGAGGGCCCAGAGAUACCUCUCCGACAAUCGGAGUGACAAAUCCUAAUCUCAAAAUACGCCAACCCAACAUGUACCUUUGGAGACACCUGUAGAGCACCUUUAUAAUCACCCAGUUACGUUGUGACGUUUGGUAGCACACAAAGUGUUCCUCCGGCAAACGGGAGUUGCAUAAUCUCAUAGUCAUAGGAACAUGUAUAAGUCAUGAAGAAAGCAAUAGCAACAUACUAAACGAUCGGGUGCUAAGCUAAUGGAAUGGGUCAUGUCAAUCAGAUCAUUCACCUAAUGAUGUGAUCCCGUUAAUCAAAUAACAACUCUUUGUCCAUGGUUAGGAAACAUAACCAUCUUUGAUUAAUGAGCUAGUCAAGUAGAGGCAUAGUAGUGACACUCUGUUUGUCUAUGUAUUCACACAUGUAUUAUGUUUCCGGUUAAUACAAUUCUAGCAUGAAUAAUAAACAUUUAUCAUGAUAUAAGGAAAUAAAUAAUAACUUUAUUAUUGCCUCUAGGGCAUAUUUCCUUCAGUCUCCCACUUGCACUAGAGUCAAUAAUCUAGAUCACAUCACCAUGUGAUUAACAUCGAUAGUUCACAUCAUCAUGUGAUUAACAACAUAGUUUUACAUCGCCAUGUGACCAACACCCAAAGGGUUUACUAGAUUCAGUAAUCUAGUUCACAUCGCUUAUGUGAUUAACACCCAAAGAGUACUAAGGUGUGAUCAUUUUUUGCUUGUGAGAGAAGUUUAGUCAACGGGUCUGCCAUAUUCAGAUCCGUAUGUAUUUUGCAAAUUUCUAUCUCAAUGAUGCUCUGCACGGAGCUACUCUUAGCUAAUUGCUCCCACUGUCAAUAUGUAUCCAGAUUGAGACUUAGAGUCAUCUAGAUCAGUGUCAAAAUCUGCAUCGACGUAACCCUUUACGACGAACCCUUUUUGUGACGUCCAUAAUUGAGAAACAUAUCCUUAUUCCACUAAGGAUAAUUUUGACCGUUGUCCAGUGAUCUACUCCUAGAUCACUAUUGUACUCCCUUGCCAAAAUCAUUGUAGGGUAUACAAUAGAUCUGGUACACAGCAUGGCAUACUUUAUAGAACCUAUGGCCAAGGCAUAGGGAAUGACUUUCAUUCUCUUUCUAUCUUCUGUCGUGGUCGUGUUUUGAGUCUUACUCAAUUUCACACCUUGUAACAUAGGCAAGAACUCUUUCUUUGACUGUUCCAUUUUGAACUACUUCAAAAUCUUGUCAAGGUAUGUACUCAUUGAAAAAACUUAUCAAGCAUUUUGAUCUAUCUCUAUAGAUCUUGAUGCUCAAUAUGUAAGUAGCUUCACCGAGGUCUUUCUUUGAAAAACUCCUUUCAAAUACUCCUUUAUGCUUUGCAGAAUAAUUCUACAUUAUUUUCGAUCAACAAUAUGUCAUUCACAUAUACUUAUCAGAAAUGCUGUAGUGCUCCCACUCACUUUCUUGUAAAUACAGGCUUCACCGCAAGUCUGUAUAAAACUAUAUGCUUUGAUCAACUUAUCAAAGCGUGUAUUCCAACUCCGAGAUGCUUGCACCAGUCCAUAGAUGAAUCGCUGGAGCUUGCAUAUUUUGUUAGCACCUUUAGGAUUGACAAAACCUUCUGGUUGCAUCAUAUACAACUCUUGUUUAAUAAAUCCAUUAAGGAAUGCAGUUUUGUUUAUCCAUUUGCCAGAUUUCAUAAAAUGCGGCAAUUGCUAACAUGAUUCGGACAGACUUAAGCAUAGAUACGAGUGAGAAACUCUCAUCGUAGUCAACACCUUUAAACUUGUCAAAUUUUUUUUGCGACAAUUCUAGCUUUGUAGAUAGUAACACUACUAUCAGCGUCCGUCUUCCUCUUGAAGAUCCAUUUAUUUUCUAUGGCUUGCCGAUCAUCGGGCAAGUCAACCAAAGUCUACACUUUGUUCUCAUACAUGGAUCCCAUCUCAGAUUUCAUGGCCUCCAGCCAUUUUGCGGAAUCUGGGCUCAUCAUCACUUCCUCAUAGUUCACAAGUUCAUCAUGGUCUAGUAACAUGACUUCCAGAACAGGAUUACCGUACCACUCUGGUGCGGAUCUCACUCUGGUUUACCUACGAGAUUCGGUACUAACUUGAUCUGAAGUUACAUGAUCAUCAUCAUUAGCUUCCUCACUAAUUGGUGUAGUAGUCACAAGAACAGAUUUAUGUGAUGAACUACUUUCUAAUAAGGGAGAUGGUACAAUUACCUUAUCAAGUUUUCUACUUUCCUCCCACUCACUUCUUUCGAGAGAAACUCCUUCUCUAGAAAGUAUCCAUUCUCAGCAACGAAUGUCUUGCCUUCGGAUCUGUGAUAGAAGGUGUACCCAAUAGUCUCCUUUGGGUAUCCUAUGAAGACAUAUUUCUCCGAUUUGGGUUUGAGCUUAUCAGCAUGAAACUUUUUCAUAUAAGCAUCACAACCCCAAACUUUAAGAAACGACAACUUUGGUUUGUUGCCAAACCACAGUUCAGAUUGUGUCGUCUCAACGGACUUAGAUGGUGCCCCUUUUUAACGUGAAUGCAGCUGUCUUUAAUGCAUAACCUAAAAAAUGAUAGUGGUAAAUCGGUAAGAAACAUAAUAGAUUUGCACUAUAUCUAAUAAAGUACGGCUAUGACAUUCGGACACACCAUUAUGCUGUGGUGUUCCAGGUGGCACGAAUUUGUGAAACUAUUCCACAUUGUUUUAAUUGAAGACCAAACUCGUAACUCAAAUAUUUGUCUCCGUGAUCAGAUCGUAGAAACCUUAUUUUCUUGUCACAAUGAUUUUCCACUUCACUCUGAAAUUCUUUGAACUUUUCAAAUGUUUCAGACUUAUGUUUCAUCAAGUAGAUAUACCCAUAUUUGCUCAAAUCAUCUGUGAAGGUCAGAAAAUAAUGAUACCCGCUGCAAGCCUUGAUAUUCAUCGGACCACAUACAUCAGUAUGUAUGAUUUCCAACAAAUCUGUUGCUUGCUCCAUUGUUCCGGAGAACGGCAUUUUAGUCAUCUUGCCCAAGAGACAUGGUUCGCAAGCAUCAAGUGAUUCCAAAAUCCCAUCAGCAUGGAGUUUCUUCAUGUGCUUUACACCAAUAUGACCUAAACGGCAGUGCCACAAACAAGUUGCACUAUCAUUAUUAACUUUGCAUCUUUUGGCUUCAAUAUUAUGAAUAUGUGUAUCAUUACAAUCGAGAUCCAACAAACCAUUUUCAUUGGUGUGUAUGACCAUAGAAGGUUUUAUUCAUGUAAACAGAACAACAAUUGUUCUCUAACUUAAAUGAAUAACCGUAUUGCAAUAAACAUGAUCAAAUCAUAUUUAUGCUCAACGCAAACACCAAAUAACACUUAUUUUAGGUUCAACAUUAAUCCCGAAAGUAUAGGGAGUGUGCGAUGAUGAUCAUAUCAAUCUUGGAACCACUUCCAAUACACAUCGUCACUUCACCCUUAACUAGUCUCUGUUUAUUCUGCAACUCCCGUUUCGAGUUACUAAUCUUAGCAACUGAACUAGUACCAAAUACUGAGGGGUUGCUAUGAACACUAGUAAAGUACACAUCAAUAACAUGUAUAUCAAAUAUACCUUUGUUUACUUUGCCAUCCUUUCUUAUCCACAAAAUACUUGGGGUAGUUCCGCUUCCAUUGACAAAUCCCUUUGCAGUAGAAGCACUUUGUCUCAGGCUUAGGACCAGACUUGGGUUUCUUCACUUGAGCAGCAACUUGCUUGCCAUUCUUCUUGAAGUUCCCCUUCUUCCUUUUGCCCUUUUCUUGAAACUAGUGGUCUUGUCUACCAUCAACACUUGAUGUUUUUCUUGAUUUCUACCUUUGUCGAUUUUAGCACCACGAAGAGCUUGGGAAUCGUUUUCGUUAUCCCUUGCAUACUAUAGUUCAUCACGAAUUUCUACUAACUUGGUGAUGGUGACUAGAGAAUUCUGUCAAUCACUAUAUUAUCUGGAAGAUUAACUCCCACUUGAUUCAAGCGAUUGUAGUACCCAGACAAUCUGAGUACAUGCUCACUGCUUGAGCGAUUCUCCUCCAUCUUGUAGCUAUAGAACUUGUUGGAGACUUCAUAUCUCUCAACUCGGGUAUUUGCUUGAAAUAUUAACUUCAACUCCUGGAACAUCUCAUAUGGUCCAUGACGUUCAAAACGUCUUUGAAGUCCCGAUUCUAAGCCGUUAAGCAUGGUGCACUAAACUAUCAAGUAGUCAUCAUAUUGAGCUAGCCAAACGUUCAUAACGUCUGCAUCUGCUCCUGCAAUAGGUCUGUCACCUAGCGGUGCAUCAAGGACAUAAUUUUUCUGUGCAGCAAUGAGGAUAAACCUCAUAUCACGGAUCCAAUCCGCAUCAUUUCUACUAACAUAUUUCAACAUAGUUUUUCUCUAGGAACAUAUCAAAACAAACAUAGGGAAGCAACAAUGCGAGCUAUUGAUCUACAACAUAGAUAUGAUAAUACUACCAGGACUAAGUUCAUGAUAAAUUUAAGUUCAAUUAAUCAUAUUACUUAAGAACUCCCACUUAGAUAGACAUCCCUCUAAUCAUCUAAGUGAUCACGUGAUCCAAAUCAACUAAACCAUGUCCGAUCAUCACGUGAGAUGGAGUAGUUUUCAAUGGUGAACAUCACUAUGUUGAUCAUAUCUACUAUAUGAUUCACGCUCGACCUUUCGGUCUCCAGUGUUCCGAGGCCAUAUCUACAUAUGCUAGGCUCGUCAAGUUUAACCUGAGUAUUCCGCCUGUGCAAAACUGUCUUGCACCCGUUGUAGAUGGACGUAGAGCUUAUCACACCCGAUCAUCAUGUGGUGUCUGGGCACGACGAACUUUGGCAACGGUGCAUACUCAGGGAGAACACUUUUAUCUUGAAAUUUAGUGAGAGAUCAUCUUAUAAAGCUACCGUCGAAAUAAGCAAAACAAGAUGUAUAUUAGAUAAACAUCACAUGCAAUCAAAAUAUGUGACAUGAUAUGGCCAUGAUCAUCUUGUGCCUUUGAUCUCCAUCUCCAAAGUACCGUCAAUGAUCUCUAACGUCACCGGCAUGACACCAUGAUCUCCAUCAUCUUGAUCUAUAUAAAUGUGUCGUCACGUGGACGUCUCGCCAACUAUUGCUCUUGCAACUAUUGCUAUCGCAUAGUGAUAAAGUAAAGCAAUUGUUUGACGCUUGCAUCUUAUGCAAUAGAGAGACGACAAUAAGGCAUUUGCCAGUUGCCGAUAACUUCCACAAAAACAUGAUCAUCUCAUACAACAACUUAUAUCUCAUCACGUCUUGACCAUAUCACAUCACAACAUGCCCUACAAAAACAAGUUAGACGUCCUCUACUUUGUUUGUUGCAAGUUUUACGUGGCUGCUACGGGCUUAAGCAAGAACCAAACUUAUCUACGCAUCAAAACCACAAUGAUAGUUUGUCAAGUUGGUUCUAUUUUAACCUUCGCAAGGACCGGGCGUAGCCACACUCGGUUCAACUAAAGUUGGAGAAACUGACACCCGCUAGUCACCCGUGUGCAUAGCACGGCGGCAAAACCAGUCUCGCGUAAGCGUACGCGUAAUGUCGGUCCAGGCCGCUUCAUCCAACAAUACCGCCGAACCAAAGUAUGACAUGCUGGUAAGCAGUAUGACUUAUAUCGCCCACAACUCACUUGUGUUCUACUCAUGCAUAUAACAUCAACACAUAAAACCUAGGCUCUGAUGCCACUAUUGGGGAACAUAGUAAUUUCAAAAAAAAUCCUAUGCACACGCAACAUCAUGGUGAUGCAUAGCAACGAGAGGGGAGAGUGUUGUCUACGUACCCUCGUAGACCGUUCACGGAAGCGUUAUAUCAACACGGUUGAUGUAGUCGUACGUCUUCACGUCCGACCGAUCCAAGUACCGAAAGCACGGCACCUCCGAGUUCUGCACACGUUCGGCUCGGUGACGUCCUCGCCUUCUCGAUCCAGCAAGAGGGGCGAAGUAGUAGAUGAGUUCUGGCAGCACGACAGCGUGGUGACGGUGUUGGUGAAGAACAAUCUCCGCAGGGCUUCGCCUAAGCACUACGAAAACUAUGACGGAGGAUAAACUAGAGGGGAUGGGGUUGCCGGCACACGGCUUGGUGUUUCUUGAUGUGUCUUUGGUGCUAGCCCUGCCCCUCUAUUUAUAUGUUGAUCCCUGGGGUCUAAACUUGGAGUAAAAGCCUCCACAAAGUCGGUUUCACCCGAAAGGCAAGAGUGCUUCUCGGACUCCAAGGCCAGAUGCCAGGGUUCCCGGCGUCUGGACCCAGGCGCCAGGGACCCUGGCGUCUGGCCCCUGGACUCCGCAAAACUUCCUUUUGUGCUUUCCAAAAACCUUGGGGGCUUUCCCCUUUGGCCCAAAUAAAGUGUUCUCGUACCCAAACAUUUCGGGAAACAUCCGGAACCCCUUCCGGUGAUUUCCGGAACCCUUCCGGUGACCAAACACUAUUAUCCCAUAUAUCAAACUUUGUCUCCGGACCAUUUUGGAGUUCCUUGUCAUGUCCGUGAUCUCAUCCCAGACUCCGAACAACAUUCGGUCACCAACAUACAUAACUCACAUAGUACUAUAUCAUCAACGAAUGUUAAGCGUGCGGACCCUACGGGUUCGAGAACUAUGUAGACAUGACCGAGACACCUCUCUGGUCAAUAACCAAUAGCGGGACCUGGAUGCCCAUAUUGGCUCCUACAUAUUCUACGAAGAUCUUUAUCGGUCAGACCGCAUAACAACAUACGUUGUUCCCUUUGUCAUCGGUAUGUUACUUGCCCGAGAUUCGAUCGUCGGUAUCUCAAUACCUAGUUCAAUCUCGUUACCGGCAAGUCUCUUUACUCGUUCCGUAAUACAUCAUCUCGCAACUAACUCAUUAGUCGCAAUGCUUGCAAGGCUUAUGUGAUGUGCAUUACCGAGAGGGCCCAGAGAUACCUCUCCGACAAUCGGAGUGACAAAUCCUAAUCUCGAAAUACGCCAACCCAACAUGUACCUUUGGAGACACCUGUAGAGCACCUUUAUAAUCACCCAGUUACGUUGUGACGUUUGGUAGCACACAAAGUGUUCCUCCGGCAAACGGGAGUUGCAUAAUCUCAUAGUCAUAGGAACAUGUAUAAGUCAUGAAGAAAGCAAUAGCAACAUACUAAACGAUCGGGUGCUAAGCUAAUGGAAUGGGUCAUGUCAAUCAGAUCAUUCACCUAAUGAUGUGAUCCCGUUAAUCAAAUAACAACUCUUUGUCCAUGGUUAGGAAACAUAACCAUCUUUGAUUAACGAGCUAGUGAAGUAGAGGCAUACUGGUGACACUCUGUUUGUCUAUGUAUUCACACAUGUAUUAUGUUUCCGGUUAAUACAAUUCUAGCAUGAAUAAUAAACAUUUAUCAUGAUAUAAGGAAGUAAAUAAUAACUUUAUUAUUGCCUCUAGGGCAUAUUUCCUUUAUUAAGAUCCUCGAGUUUGCCAGCUGAGUCACCCGCAGCAAGGUUAUCAAGUUUUGCAAAGUUCAAUGGAGCAACCACACAUAGGAUGAAGCCACCUGGGAGUGAGAGGAAGAUUUGCUUAAGGACCACCCUCACCUAUUUUCUAGCCAACCCGAAUCUCGAGGGCGAGAUUCAUCUUAAGGGGGGUAGGUUUGUAACAUCCCAAAUUUUCAAUUUGGAAUGUUAUACAUUAGAUCAUCAUUCCAUAUCAUAUUUUAUUUUGCAUUUUGGUUGAUCCUAGAAAUUCUACGCAACUCAAUGACCCACGGAGAGAGUUGGGGAUUUCGUUAUUUUCAUAUUUGAGUUUUCUCAAAUUUUGAGAAUAGGAUCAUUUGAUUUUAAUUAUUUUAUCAUCAGUUAUUUCUAUUACAAAAAUAUGAUAGAGGGAAUAAAAUGACUUUCCCAAAUUAAAGAAAUAUUAAGGAUUUAAUAAUAAAAUCAAAUAAGAUUCUAUUUCGGAGUUUUUCGGUGUUUUAUUUGAAUUUAGGAAAAAUGUGCGUUUUUCAAAAUUGCAUUUAUGUCCCAAAUAAAUGUUCACCUUGUGCGUCUUGAUUUUAGAAGCCCGUGAAAAUUUAUUUCGGAAUUUUUGGAGUCGUUUAGUAUUUCUUUUUAUUUUUCUUCUGCGCGUAAUUAUUAAAAAAAACGAACCGACCUACGGGCCGUGUCCGACUAGGUCUCCGGCCCGGCUAGCCUUUAUAAGCCGGGGGAGGCCCAGCCCCAGCCGAACCCUAAGCCGCNNNNNNNNNNNNNNNNNNNNNNNNNNNNNNNNNNNNNNNNNNNNNNNNNNNNNNNNNNNNNNNNNNNNNNNNNNNNNNNNNNNNNNNNNNNNNNNNNNNNNNNNNNNNNNNNNNNNNNNNNNNNNNNNNNNNNNNNNNNNNNNNNNNNNNNNNNNNNNNNNNNNNNNNNNNNNNNNNNNNNNNNNNNNNNNNNNNNNNNNNNNNNNNNNNNNNNNNNNNNNNNNNNNNNNNNNNNNNNNNNNNNNNNNNNNNNNNNNNNNNNNNNNNNNNNNNNNNNNNNNNNNNNNNNNNNNNNNNNNNNNNNNNNNNNNNNNNNNNNNNNNNNNNNNNNNNNNNNNNNNNNNNNNNNNNNNNNNNNNNNNNNNNNNNNNNNNNNNNNNNNNNNNNNNNNNNNNNNNNNNNNNNNNNNNNNNNNNNNNNNNNNNNNNNNNNNNNNNNNNNNNNNNNNNNNNNNNNNNNNNNNNNNNNNNNNNNNNNNNNNNNNNNNNNNNNNNNNNNNNNNNNNNNNNNNNNNNNNNNNNNNNNNNNNNNNNNNNNNNNNNNNNNNNNNNNNNNNNNNNNNNNNNNNNNNNNCGCCACCCCGCCGCGCCGCCGCCGUCGCGCCCCGCCCGAGGUUCGCCGCCUCGUUUUCCGCGCCAUUUUUUAGUUUUUUUUGAAAAACCGUCGGUUUUUCAUCGGUUUUUUUAGAUUUGGUUUUUUAAUAGAUCGGUUUUUCCGGUUUAUUUAAAUAGUGAGCGUUCGUCCGUUCGUUCGUUCUAGCGAACGUUCGUCGUUUUUUUCUUUUUCUCGGAUUAAAUCUGCGAUUUUUCUGAUCGUGAUUCAUGAUCCGAUUUUCGUUUUAGUAUAACUUUUCGCUCGUUUAUCGGAAUCAGGCGAUUCAAGCGCUUGGAGUUUCGUCUCGAAACCCUCACUACUAGGGAAAAGCCUAGCAGCAGCGCGGGUUUUAGGCCUAUCAGCAGCGCGGGUACCCGCGCUACCAAUAAGGCACUACAGCUAAUAGUUAGUAAUAGCGUGGGUUGAACCCGCGCUACUACUAACAAAGUUAGUAGUAGCGUGUGCCACCCACACUACUGCUAUUUAGUACCCGCGCCACUACUAACAAAAUAGUAGCAGCGUGUCCAUACUACCAACGCUACUAGUAUCCUAAAUACUAGUAGCGCGCAGUCUUUUCCCACGCCACUACUAACUAAUUUAUAAUUAAAAAAAUAAAAUCCACCAAUUCCAUUUUAUGCAUACAGUUCCCAGUAAACACAACAAUAGUGAGCACUGCUGGGCUCCUAUUUCAUGGUUAACCAGAAACCGAAGGAAAUAAAUCAGCCAAAAAACCUCAUUAUGCAUUGCAACUCACAAAUGACCACUUCAAAGAACAUGCAAGUAUCUAUGUCAUUAACAAUUGCAAACAUAAGUUUCUUUUUACUAUAGUUGUUGUAUGUACUAUCACACAGUUCCUCAUUCUGUUCUCACUCAAUAAUAAUAAAAAUGAAAAGAGAAGAUAGAGAUAAUCUGCCGCAAUUGCACUUCGGUGUCAUGGAUUCAGUCUGCCGCUUCAACAUCUCAUUAUCCGGCAGCACUCUGUCGCUAUCUUCUACCUAUGAAUAAAAACAGACCUUGUUAGAGAAGCAAAUGUGAAACCUUAUUACAACAUGUAUGCUAAGUCGCUAACCCAUAGAGACAGCUAGAACAAAUGUGGAAACUUUCCAUGUUGCCGAGCAAGUAUAUUAACUAGACAAAGUUAGAUGACAGUGAAGCUUAAAGCUGCAGUAAGAAAUAUUAGAUAUACACAUUUUUAAAAUCAACCUCAGAAGUGGAUACUCUAGUAGACCUACAAGAGCAGAUAUGGUAGUAACCAAAAUCCUAUAAAGAUUCGAGGUUAAAGAUUAUAAAUCCAAUUUGUCAUUAGCAUAAAAAUAUUAGUUCCAUGAAGAAGUUUGUCAAGAGAUAUUUUCUAGUGUUUCUAAGACAGUGACUGAAACAUAAUGAAAGAAAACACGUUUCUGCAUUUUAAUUAGGGGGAGCUUUAGUUCUAAAAUACUGGAACUGUGACUGAAUGAUCAUAUAUACUAUUAGAAAAACAGACCAAAAUCCCCGCAGAACAAAACAGACCAAAAAAAUUAACUUCCUACUUAUAGUGGCAAGAAAAUCUUAUAUGAAUGUGUUAUAAUAAAUAAUGCUAACCAUGAAGUCUUCUUCCAUAUAACAAAGGAGUGACGAAACCAAAAAACCUGUAAUUCAAGUAUGACAAGCAGUUAGUUAAUUAUUUGCAUGUCAACAGUUCUAAUGUCUAGCUACAGAUCUUCAAAGUAAAGAUUGUGAACUCUAUUAGACAUGAUUAUAUCAAUUAGACCAAAUAGAAAAUAAUUCAAUAUGUUGUAUAUCCAUUAAACGAAGUUCAAUCUAUCUUCUGAUUAUUAGUGUUUUAGUUAGGUGAUUAGUCCUUCUACGGCCGCCGGUUAAUAGGUGAGCCAUGACUUUUUACAGUAAAAAAUGCAAAGGAAAUAACAAGUUAGUAUUUUUCCAAAUCUAAUUAUACGGCCACGUUGAUCAUACCUUACUAAUUCUGGCCGGACACUAGUAAAACAAGAAAAACUCCCAUGCUUUAUCGGUGCACAUUCACCAUUUGAUAGUGUGAUCAUUUGAGAUCACUAAAUCAUCUUCUAUACGACGUAGGCCAGUAACAUUUACAUCAGCUUGCUCACUUGUAGCUGCUGGAGCAACCAAAACAUCCUGAGCCAAUACAGAGUUGCUGCUCAGGCCAAGAACAACAGCUGUAACAAGACUGGAAUGAGGAUUGCCAUGGUACCAAAUAUGAUAUUUAUUUCAUUAAAUCAGAUGGAGGAGGCUGCAUAUGCAGAGAGCAGCCAUCUCCAUCAUCCUUUGAAACCACUUGACAAGGUCCAAUGCUCUGUCACUGUAAUCCCUCUUCUUCUGUAAAUUGGUCUGCAAGAACUCCUAUCACUGUAAAAAAUUUGCGACAGCAAACAUAUACUACAAGGACAUAUCCACGACGCGCUUAACACUAGAGAGAGAUGCUACAGCCAAACAAAUCAUGACCAAACACAUAUCAUCCAGUCCAGGACUUGCUCACUGCUAUUUUGCUUGCAGAUUUUGCCUUCAGGUUACAGCAACGAACUGAAAAUAAUACUACAUAGAAAUCACAAGUAGUCUUUAGCCUACGUGCAAAUACAAAUACUUGGUUCUCUCAACCACAUAAAAGUGCAAAUACAAAUCACAAUACAAACUGUCCGCAGAUAAUGCACAAUGCACGACACUCUUCUUUCCCGAUCAAACUUUUGAUUCAUAUGGGAUCCCUAUAAGCAACACAUUGGCUCGUUGCGACAAGAACAAAAUUCAGAAGUGUGGUAGGGGUAUCAGUAAUUUUAGGAGGAAAUUAUUGGCGCUUAAUUGAGGAAACUGAGCGUGCACGUGGUGUUUCUUGGACUUACUAAUUUUCUAUCUUGAGUUGGACUUCAAGAUGUUUUUAUUUUCUUUGAGAAACAGAAUGAGACGUUGACUAUCAUGAUUGUGUGUGUUAAUUCAAAAUGAUCCGGUCUCCGGAUAUCUAUUCUGUCACUUUUCGAACACUUUGUGGUGUCAGGUUGGUUACAUGCUGGAAGGAAGCAUCGAACUUGUUGUUUAUUAAUAUAUAUAUAUAUAUAUAUAUAUAUAUAUAUAUAUAUGCAAAAACGGGUAGCAAUUAGCCUAAUCAGUGUCUGUUGGGACGUCAAUCCCUGCAUAAAAGUGCAGUAGUUUUCUUCAGUGGAAUCCUUGUGACAUUCCAGUUUUGGUCUCCCAUGUGACCAACCAACCAGAGAUCUAAAUAGUGCAGCAUCUACGUACAGAACAUGAAUAAACUUGAUCGAUUGCCUUGGGCAAGAUAGAGAUCUGUGAAGAGGGAGGAAGGAGAGGAGAGGAGAGGAGGGCAUACCUCGGCUAGGAGUUGCUGCUGUGGGAGGCACAGGUGGAGCCGUCGUGUACCUCGCCGGCUCCAACAUCCAUGCGUGGCGUCGGCCCACAACAGGGAGGCGUCGGCGGUCUCUUGUGACCUGCGUUGCGUGAGGAAUCCGGCCAAAUUGAAUCAGAAAAUGGCAAUUCAAAUUGAAUCGAACAACAUCCGAGAUCUGGCCAAAUCGUGUCCAACACACACACACACACACACACGCAUGAAGGGAAGGUAGGGGGGAGAGACCUCCAUGGCGUCGGUCGGAGCACCAUCUCCAUCUCUCUCCCUCACGCGGGCAUACUUAGGAAGACAUACGAUCAAGGGCGAAGAGACCUCCGGCGGUCGUAUGANNNNNNNNNNNNNNNNNNNNNNNNNNNNNNNNNNNNNNNNNNNNNNNNNNNNNNNNNNNNNNNNNNNNNNNNNNNNNNNNNNNNNNNNNNNNNNNNNNNNNNNNNNNNNNNNNNNNNNNNNNNNNNNNNNNNNNNNNNNNNNNNNNNNNNNNNNNNNNNNNNNNNNNNNNNNNNNNNNNNNNNNNNNNNNNNNNNNNNNNNNNNNNNNNNNNNNNNNNNNNNNNNNNNNNNNNNNNNNNNNNNNNNNNNNNNNNNNNNNNNNNNNNNNNNNNNNNNNNNNNNNNNNNNNNNNNNNNNNNNNNNNNNNNNNNNNNNNNNNNNNNNNNNNNNNNNNNNNNNNNNNNNNNNNNNNNNNNNNNNNNNNNNNNNNNNNNNNNNNNNNNNNNNNNNNNNNNNNNNNNNNNNNNNNAAGGGAGUCCAGCGGUGAGUGGGUUGGGAGAGGAGAGGAGGUUGGGGAUCUGGAUCGGGCUCUGUGGUUUUUUUUUGAGACAGACGGGAGUGGGUGGACAGGGACGGUUGGUGGGGUGGGGGUGGGGAUCGGGCCGGGGUGGACACGCUUAGUAGUAGCAUGGGGUCUCACCUGCGCUACUACUACUUACAUAGUAGUAGCGCCGGUUUUAUACCCCUCGCUACUACUAUGGCCUAUCCCGGGGGCAUUGUUGGAGACCAUUUAGUAGCAGCGCGGGUUUAUACCCCUCGCUACUACUAUCAACUUAGUAGUAGCAUGGUUUUUAUACCCCUCGCUACUACUAAUUAGCAGUAGCGCUCCUUUUUAAACCGUGCUGCUGGUAAACUUCUGUGUAUAAGGUUUUCCCUAGUAGUGCCUCUAUCCGUUUAACCAACUUAAACAAGUUUUUGCUACUGUAAAAUUUGCCCUAGAUCCAGAUUGCUAGAAUGAAGUUGUUUUCUUUCGCCAUUUGACUUUUGUUGCUUCGUUCAAUUUGAUUCUUUUUGUCAACCAGAGUUGUUAAGUUGAACCUUCUGGUUAGAUCUCUUAUUUGAGUUUUACCCGUGCAUUAGAUGAGUACUUAUUGUAUGCUUGUUUGUUUGUCUGCGAUAGAAUACCCGGAGUGCGCCGCUUGUUACUUCGAAUCUCUAGGUUUCGCGGAUCAUCAGCAAGGCAAGUAACACUUUGAUCAUACCUUUCCCACUACCCAGUUUUAUUGCAUUAGAACAAUCCUCACACAUUGCAUGAUUAGGAUCUAAUUAAAUUGUGGAAUGGGAAGUAGUUGAGGUAGUACCUAUUACCUGUUUAUUAUCAAACCUUUGGGAGUUACUUCUACGUUUGCUUAUUAUGCCAUGCUAUGCUAGUAGACGUGGAUUGGGUGAGUGAUAUCCAUGAUAGAUGUGAGUUUGUUAAUUAAUGGUUUAUCUAAGGUGGCAACUUAAACACACAUCUGGGUGGAUUGAGGCACCUGGGUAUUCUAGGACUUGCCUGUUUUCUUUUGGACCGCCACCCAGGCUCAAAGGGAUCAUGAGAUUAUUCAUGCUAGAAACUUCUGUGUGCAGCCACAAGCUAUUAUGGGCUCUAGCAUAGUUGACUAAGUCGUGCGAACUCUUACAGUGGUAGACUAGCAGAUGUAGGGGAUGUAGGCGGUCUACCCAAUCGUAAGGUGCUAGCACUUCUGAAAGACUAUGUCUCGGUCAUCCGUCUUCUCAAACACCUUAUAGUGCGAGAAACGAAACGGAGGCGAUCGAGUCUUGUGGGGAAAAGUGCGUAAACCUCUGUAGAGUGUAAUAAACUAAUCAUGAUUAGCCGUGUCCCCGGUUAUGGACAUCUUGAGUAUCUAGUACCUGGAUUAUCAUGUGAAUCUCAACAUGUUACUUUAAAUUAAUUUUUUUGGGUUUUGUUUAAUGAUGAUGCUUAAUUGGGAUUGAGAAUGCUGUCAACCAUUCUCAAUGUUUAACAACUACCAUGAUAGUUAAAUAAAAUUUAUUCCUUUGAAGUAGGGAAAAAUUGGCUUUACGUAAAACUGUAACCGUAGAGCUUUCCACCAGACAAAUAUGCGUAUAGUAUAGUUAUUUCAUUCCAUUACUCUCUAUGUGUUACCUUGCCAGCAUAUUCCAUGUGCUGACCCGUUUCGGGCUGCAACGUCAAUGUUGCAGACUUUUCAGAUGAUGAUUAAGGAGUUUUUAGGUCGUGGUUCUAUACUCAGUGAUGUCGUUGGAGUUGAUGGACUAACUUAUCUUCCAAGCCUUCCACUGUUAUCGUUAUUAGAUGGCCUUAAGCCAUAUUUAUUGUAUUAAGUUCUCUAUGAGACACUCGAUGUAAUAAGUGUGUGAUUGCUACUCUGUUAUAAAUCCUCCGAGUACUGUGUGGUGUCAGCAUUACUGAUCCAGGGAUGACACCGGAGCACAGAGAUCAGACUGUUUGAGGUCUGGUCGCUACAAAAGUUUGCAAGCUCUGACUUCAACUAAAAUAUGUAUAUAAGUUAGCUUGCUUUUGUGGAAAUUAAAUGCAUUUUACUAGUUAACCUGCUGUUGUGAUUAUUCAAGGAAAAGAAACAAGCAUGCAGAGUUUCAGGUCCUGAAACUGAAACAGAGCAAAAAAAUGUAAACAGGGAAAAAACUGAUGUUUAUGUAUCUCACCUUGACAAAAACUGAUGUUCACUACCAUUAUACAG
This 24442-nucleotide long non-coding RNA is filed under the name Triticum aestivum (bread wheat). RNAcentral describes it as "long non-coding RNA (TAES_LNC010844)". The record is from RNAcentral. Lineage: Eukaryota; Viridiplantae; Streptophyta; Magnoliopsida; Poales; Poaceae.